Salmo salar (Atlantic salmon) is the source of this 54-nucleotide non-coding RNA. Lineage: Eukaryota; Metazoa; Chordata; Actinopteri; Salmoniformes; Salmonidae. The record is from Rfam.
AAUGCACGAUUUUGUAAGUCGCUCUGGAUAAGAGCGUCUGCUAAAUGACUUAAA